CAGGACCGGCGGGACUGGGAAGCCGCCCAGGUGCUUGAGGAGCGCCUCGACGCCGAGGGCGCCCAGCUCGGUGCCGGGGGUGGUGACC
RNAcentral lists this transfer RNA (88 nucleotides) under Actinoplanes sp. NBRC 103695. Its description in RNAcentral is "tRNA-Leu". Lineage: Bacteria; Bacillati; Actinomycetota; Actinomycetes; Micromonosporales; Micromonosporaceae. The record is from RNAcentral.